AGCGAACGCUGGCGGCAGGCCUAAUACAUGCAAGUCGAGCGGGUCCUUCGGGAUUAGCGGCGGACGGGUGAGUAACGCGUGGAACGUGCCCUUUGGUACGGAACAACUGAGGGAAACUUCAGCUAAUACCGUAUGUGCCCUUCGGGGAAAGAUUUAUCGCCAUUGGAGCGGCCCGCGUUGGAUUAGGUAGUUGGUGAGGUAAAGGCUCACCAAGCCUACGAUCCAUAGCUGGUCUGAGAGGAUGACCCAGCCACACUGGGACUGAGACACGGCCCAGACUCCUACGGGAGGCAGCAGUAGGGAAUCUUGCGCAAUGGGCGAAAGCCUGACGCAGCCAUGCCGCGUGAAUGAUGAAGGUCUUAGGAUUGUAAAAUUCUUUCACCGGGGACGAUAAUGACGGUACCCGGAGAAGAAGCCCCGGCUAACUUCGUGCCAGCAGCCGCGGUAAU
RNAcentral lists this ribosomal RNA (449 nucleotides) under uncultured bacterium. RNAcentral describes it as "bacterial SSU rRNA". It matches the Rfam family "Bacterial small subunit ribosomal RNA", at positions 29 to 524 of the family's 1533-position model. The record is from RNAcentral.